This 606-nucleotide long non-coding RNA is filed under the name Eutrema salsugineum. Its description in RNAcentral is "long non-coding RNA (ESAL_LNC001055)". The record is from RNAcentral. Lineage: Eukaryota; Viridiplantae; Streptophyta; Magnoliopsida; Brassicales; Brassicaceae.
AAGAAAUUGAAACUGCUUUGAUUUGGGGAAAUUAGGUUUUCUCAGUCUCGGUAGAGUUUGGUGCAGAUGUUAUUGAUAAGGAUGGAUGCAGCUUCUAAAUCGUGAUCAAGUAGGUACGUACAUUUAUUUCCCUCCAAUUUUCCACAUACAUUGCUAAGCUCCUCUAACUUUUAGUUUAGUGAGCUAUGAUUCUUGAUUAUUGCUGAAUUAAUGAAUUUCAUUAGAGUCAUCUUAUGAAAGCUAGCCUCUGGUCUAGAAAUUCAUUCAACACAGUGCUCGUAAACUUCUUAAUUCUCGAAUAAUUUCAUUUUUAAUCUUAUCAAAAGCUCGUAUCUUGCAUUUGAAAAUGUUGCAAAACCUUUGAUCCUUACGUUUUCGGUGGUAAAAGUUGCCAUUUUUCAUUCGUUUAGAGCUUAUUCAUUUUGUGGAGUAUAUAAUUUGAUUCAUACAAGUGGUAAUUACUGUUUUGGUUGUCCGUGUUUUAUAAUUUAACCUAUUACAGCAACAGCAACAGGGUAAUCUCAAGCAAAACAUGAUAAAAGUCUAAGCUUUGGAUUUAACGAGAAAACGAAAAAGUCUAAGCUUUGGAAAGAAGAAGAAAAAGUG